Non-coding RNA from Paramormyrops kingsleyae, 773 nucleotides. The record is from RefSeq and is a predicted model, not a curated record. Lineage: Eukaryota; Metazoa; Chordata; Actinopteri; Osteoglossiformes; Mormyridae.
CUACAUUAUCCACCAAGCUGUAAUACGUCCAAGAAACCACAGCAAAGAAAUAUACAUGCAAAUAUCAACUGAAUACAUGCAGGGCAUGUUGGCUGUAAUUGAGAAGUACAAUUGUAUUCAUAAAGGUCUUAGGAAUGCUGGUCACAUGACUCUGCAGAGGACCAUAGGUGACUGCCUCACUGCGAUCGCAACAAGACUGCAGUGACAUCUGUGAAAAAGAUGAGAUGUGCAGUGAGAUGAAUCUGCAAGUCUAAGUUGCCCGCUGUCUAUGUGUCCUGCGGUGGACUGGCACCCCGUCCAGGGUGUACCCCAGCCUGAUGCCCUGCGGUGGACUGGCACCCCGUCCAGGGUGUACCCCAGCCUGGCGCCCUGCGGUGGACUGGCACCCCGUCCAGGGUGUACCCCGGCCUGGCGCCCUGGGGUGGACUGGCACCCCGUCCAGGGUGUACCCCGGCCUGGCACCCUGCGGUGGACUGGAAUCCUGCUCCCCCUGUUAUACUCCUGCUGCCUGGGAUAGUCUCCAAACCAUCCCGUGAAAGCAGGGUUUCCUGGGAUUUAAAAAAAAAAAAUCCAGUUCCAAGCCUUGGCAGACAGUCUUCCAGUUUGGAGGGAGGUGGCGUGGAGAGUGGCGUCACUCUUUAGAAGUGAAAUAUCCAGGAGUUAUGGAGCCGCACCGCAGUGGAGCCUGAAAUUGCUGCUGGUCAGAAGAAGCCAAGAGACCAGCGAGAGCUGUCAGUCAGACUUUCCGAGGGGGCGUCGGCCCGUGGGGGCAG